This 4536-nucleotide long non-coding RNA is filed under the name Anolis carolinensis (green anole). RNAcentral describes it as "lncRNA (ENSACAG00000034911.1)". The record is from RNAcentral. Lineage: Eukaryota; Metazoa; Chordata; Lepidosauria; Squamata; Anolidae.
UUUAUAUGAAUUGUUGUUUUUACAUUGUUUUUAGGCUUUGAAUUUUUGCCUGUUUAUUUAAGCUGCUUUGAGUCCCCUCGGGGAGAAAGGCGGGGUAAAAGUGAUGUAAAUAAAUAAAUAAAUCUAACCUCAUCCUUCCACACUGGCAGAAAAAGAAGCAGCAAAACUAUAGAAUCUCAAAAGAAACGUAUUUACUUUUAACUUUUGUAGUUCUGGUGUACAUCUGUUUCAACAAAGACCAUUUAUUAAACAAUUACUUCACUAAGGAAGGAGAGAUUAAGUUCACCUUUAAUACAAACUGACCUCAUUCACUAUAAUUAGAAUUUUGUUAUUCUCUCAGUGUUGCAGUUGAGUUCUCUAACAUUAAAAAUAUGUAUCGAGACUGUCUACAAAGGUUCAUACCUCUAUGAAGCAGCAUACACAUGAAAAGACACUGCUUAGGGGAAAAAUAGUACCCCUUAAAAUAAAAAUGUAUAUUUCAUGCAUGCAAAGGUGCAUAGAAAAACAUCCAUAUUUUUAACAAGUUAUAAAAAAAUUGCAAACUGCCUCAGAAAUGGGCCAUGACAAAUGAGUAAAAAGUGCAAAUCUUAUAAAGUAAAACAAACAACUUUAUCCAGACUCCUGACUGUACUGAGCAAGUGGCCAGUAGAAACACUUACAUAGUUUCACAAAUAAAGCAGCUGUCUAGAGUUUUUCUAAUCACACAUGUUCCUACCAAAGCUUAAGCCCAGAACGGAGAGGACUAGUUUCUUCCCAGCUAAGAAACUGCUUAAAGCAGCAACCUGUGUGUUAUCCUGGUGUUUAUGUGUUUUGAUUGUUCUGUGGCCCAGCUCGAGCCGCGAGGAGAGGUGGGUAAGAAAUUGAAUUAUUCUUAUUAUUUCUAUUAUUACCAUUAUUAUUCCUCUGAGGCCGUAAAAAUGUGACUUGCUCAAUGGGUCUGUGUGACUAAGCAGGGAUAUGAACCAUAGUCUUCCACAGCCCUAGUCAAACACUAUACUAUGUAAUCUUUUGGAAAAUGGCAUUCACAACCAUUUGGAGUUCAUAACCUUUUGGAUAAGUUUGAUCUUUCAGAGAAGAGCCAAAAACCCAUUUGAGUAGAAUCUUCUCAUAUGGUAUACAACCAAAUGUAAUAUGCAACACAAUGGCUUCAGUUGUUAGACUGAACCUAUUGUCUCUGAUCUGUUAGGAACAGAGAAUAUAGCAGUGCAUAGAAGCAGCAGAGUUUCAGAGGUGUUUUUCAGUGCCCGAAAUAUAUCUACUCUCCCAUAAAACAACUAGUUUUAUAUAAUGCACUCAAGAGACAGCAAUGAAAUAGUCUUUGGUUUAUUAAUAUCAUAUUUGGUUUAUUCACAACUUCAUGUGUUCAGCAUAACACAGUUACAUAGCUUAUCAGUUCGGUUUCAGAUAUAUUUAAGAUAGUUUCUCUAUGCAGAUGACAUAAGGCAUCUUUCUUACAGCAUCAAGCAAGCAAGAGUUGGUCUCAGCAGUCCAAAGUCUAAGAAAGAUCUAAAAUGGCAUCUGAGGUCUGAGCAGUCUCAGAUCAGAUCACGUGGUCUGCAGCCCCUCCCACAACCUCUCAGAAAACAUAGAGCAAGAGAAGCUUCAUAUCAGAACAUAUAUAUAAAACAGUAAACAAACAGAAUCAUAGAUUAACAAAUUACUAGAGGAGGCUUGAAGAAGGUUCUAAUUUCCAACAUAAUCUGUUGUUACAUUUUAUCCAUUGUAUGGUCUCAGAUAUAUGAAAUAUAACUGCGUAUAAUUUCAUAUAAAUGUGAAUAAGUAAAAUAAGUUUAAAGCAAGAAAUAGGACUGGGGAGGGGCACCAUAAAGGAGCAGAGAUGUUUAGAUGAGAAAGGAAAUACCUCAGGUUUGUGUGGGUGCCAUGACCUCCUUUCCUGGUGUUGUGGGGAACCAUGAAAGUAGGUCUUGCCUUGGCCUAUAGCACACCUGAAUCAAGGGAGAGCUGGCCAGGAUGGAGGGUCUCUAUAGAAACGGAGCAGUGAAGGGUAGGACCAGGGUGAGGGAUAUGUGGAGAUGAGAGGGAAAGCAACUUUCAGAUAGAACUUUGCUUGUAACCAUACUGUAUGAUUUGAGAAAUAAAAGCCUUCCAGUCCGCCUAUGAGGUAAUUUCUUCUUUAGAGAGCUGCAGAGCAGCACAGUGGGGUUAAUAUAACUGCAGUUGCUUCCAGCUUUAUCUAUAUAUAUAUAAAUGUAAUGUUCGUUUUACUAUGGAGUAACCAACAAAACCACUGAACCAAAUCACACCAAAUGUGGCCAGAAAAGACAGUCAUCCAAAAUAUGUCUUUCAAUUAAAAAAAAACCUAGAAAAAUAGUCCAAAUUACAGAGGAUGAGGAAGAGCCUUUCUCCCCCUAACUGCCAAUUAGAAAGGUAGGCUCUGCUGCCUUUAGCCCCCCCCCCCCUUUUGCUGGUUUAAGCCCUGCCCGCUUCGUAUCCUAUCAACUUCCUCAGCCAAAAUGGCACCCAGGGCAGAGGCCGAGUGCACUUAGGCCUGAUCCACACUGCCUAUAAAAUGCAGAUUAUCUGAUUUGAACUGGAUUAUAUGGCAGUGUAGACUCAAGGUCCUUCCACACAGCUAUAUUACCCAUUUAUAAUCUUAUAUGAUCUACUUUGGACUGGAUUAUCUUGAGUCCACACUGCCAUAUAAUCCACUUCAGUGUGGAUUUUAUACAGCUGUGUAGAAGGGGCCUCAUAUAAUCUACUUCUAAGCAGAUAAUAUAAGGUUAUAAAUAUAAUAUGAAAUCAUUACUGUGGUAUAAUAAUACAGAACAAUAUAAUCUCUAAAACCAGGACAAUAAAUAAAGAGCUACACUCUGAAAGCAGGGAAAUUGGGAAUUCCAGAAAGGAAACAAUCAGGGCCAGCUAACACUUCCCAACAAAGGAUUCCUCCCAGGCAGGAAGCAGCCAAGCUUUGAAGCUGCAAGGCCAUUAAAUGCUAAUCAAGGUGGCUAAUUGCAGCAUUCAUACCUGCCAUACUGAGACUAUUAAUUGCUAUUCAAACUGGCCAACCAAGGAUUCUGCAAGGUAGAAAGCGGCCAGGCUUGUAAGCAGCAAGGCUAUUCAGUGCUCUUCAACCUGACCAACCAAGAUUUCCCCUAGGUGAAAAAUCCCCAGGCUUUGAAGCCACUAGGCUACUUUGUCCCAUUCAACCUGGCCUAGCAAAGAUGCCCUAUGUAGAAAGCAGCCAGGCUUUUAAGCUGCAAGUCUAUUCAGUGCAAUUCAAGCUGCCCAAACAAUGAUUCCCCUACAAAGGAAGUAGCCAGGCUUCAAAGCGGCGCUUUGAUUGAGGGUGCUACUCCAGCUACUCUAGAAAACGGCCAGGCUUUGAGACUGCAAGGCUAUUUACUGCUAUUCCACCUGGCCAUCAAAUGAUUCCCAUAAGCCACAGCAACGCAUGGUCAGGCAAAGCUAAUAAUAAAUAAAAGUUCUUACUAGAUUUAAAAUAUGAUCUAAAACAUGAAGUGGUUCACCACCCAUACAGAUAGAUUCCAGUCUCUCCUAACACGCUAUAGUCAUUCUCCUAAUUCCCCCAUCUUUCCUACUACUCCUUCACCUCAGCUUGUCUCACCUUAUAGAAUUAAAUACAAAUAUAAUAAACAAAUAAAUAAAUAAAAAUAAUGAAUGAAUAAAAUACAUAUACAUUUUAAAAACCCUAACAUUGUCCACUAUGCAGAAUUUCCCCAUAGCGUCUUACACUUUAGAGCAUUGACUGCUAUUUCUUUUGUCUCUGACACUUUCUCCCUUCCUAAUCCUUAUCCAUAAAAAUGCAUAUUUCCCUUGAUUAUUAGGGCCUUUCCACAUAACCUAGAAUAUCAAGGCAGAAUAACCCACAAUACCCACUUUGAACUGGAAUAUCUCAGUCCACACUGCCAUAUAUCCCAGUUCAAAGCAGAUAAUGUGGGAUUUGAUUCAGGUGUGUAGAAGGGGCCUUAGACUCUUAGAUACCAAAGGCACCAGAUCUCAUCUGAUCUUAAUAACUAAGCAGAAUCAGACCUAGGUAAUACUUGGAUGGGAGACUGCCAAUGAAUAGCAGUUGUGAAUGAAUAUAUAUAAAAAAUCCACAAGAAGACCUACAAUCUACAAUAAGUUGCAGUUGACUCGAAUUCAGCACAAGUGAACAAUAGCGGUAACUAGCACAAUGAAAACUAAUGGCAUAUCUUUAGAAAAAGCAGGAGCAAGGAAGCCUACUGGGACUGUGGAUCCAUUAUUUUCCCCAGUCUCAUUUUUUUUUUUUGCCAAAAAACACCAGUAAGCAAAUUCCAGGUGCUGUAGGCUAUAUUUCAGAAGAGGAAACUGGUAAAACCAUCUAAAAAUUGUGAUAAAAUGUACAGGGUUGAUGUAAGUUGAGAGAUUACUUGAAGGCACAUAAAUGCACAGAAUACAAUGGAGCCUCCAGAUCCAAAUGUUCCUGAUCAAUGAUUUCCACUGUGGAUCGUCACAUCCCAUACAUAAAAUGGCAGUGGUGCAUACAUGUAUGUGCAUAAUAUCAGACACAAUUAUUUUUUGCCAUCUCAGUGG